This 403-nucleotide unclassified non-coding RNA is filed under the name soil metagenome. RNAcentral describes it as "partial contains 5.8S ribosomal RNA, internal transcribed spacer 2, and large subunit ribosomal RNA". The stretch from base 1 to 121 matches the Rfam family "5.8S ribosomal RNA", at positions 35 to 154 of the family's 154-position model. The record is from RNAcentral.
GAUGAAGAACGCAGCGAAAUGCGAUAAGUAAUGUGAAUUGCAGAAUUCAGUGAAUCAUCGAAUCUUUGAACGCACCUUGCGCCCUUUGGCUAUUCUGAAGGGCAUGCCUGUUUGAGUAUCAUGAACACCUCAACUCUCAUGGUUUGCCAUGAUGAGCUUGGACUUUGGGGGUCUUGCUGGCCUACGGUCGGCUCCUCUCAAAUGAAUCAGCUUGCCAGUGUUUGGUGGCAUCACGGGUGUGAUAACUAUCUACGCUUGUGGUUUUUCCACCAGGUAACCUUCAGCAGUGGAGGUUCGCUGGAGCUCAUAGAUGUCUCUCCUCAGUGAGGACAGCCCUUUGAAUGUUUGAUCUCAAAUCAGGUAGGACUACCCGCUGAACUUAAGCAUAUCAAUAAGCGGAGGA